CCUACGGGUGGCAGCAGUGGGGAAUAUUGCACAAUGGGGGAAACCCUGAUGCAGCAACGCCGCGUGAGUGAAGAAGUAUUUCGGUAUGUAAAGCUCUAUUAGCAGGGAAGAAGAUGACGGUACCUGAGUAAGAAGCCCCGGCUAACUACGUGCCAGCAGCCGCGGUAAUACGUAGGGGGCAAGCGUUAUCCGGAUUUACGGGGUGUAAUGGGAGCGUAGGCGGGGAGACAAGGCUGGAGUGAAAGGCCGGGGCUCAACCCCGGGGCUGCUUUGGAAACUGCCUGACUGGAGUGCUGGAGAGGCAAGCGGAAUUCGUGGUGUAGCGGUGAAAUGCGUAGAUAUUAGGAAGAACACCGGUGGCGAAGGCGGCUUGCUGGACAGUAACUGACGUUGAGGCUCGAAGGCGUGGGGAGCAAACAGGAUUAGAUACCCCAGUAGUC
This 440-nucleotide ribosomal RNA is filed under the name uncultured bacterium. RNAcentral describes it as "partial 16S ribosomal RNA". It matches the Rfam family "Bacterial small subunit ribosomal RNA", at positions 338 to 795 of the family's 1533-position model. The record is from RNAcentral.